UAAUACGAACUGUGCGAACGUUAUUCGGAAUCACUGGGCUUAAAGGGUGCGUAGGCGGCUUGUUAAGUAGGGUGUGAAAGCCCCCGGCUCAACCGGGGAAUAGCGCCCUAAACUGGCGAGCUGGAGUGAGACAGGGGUGUGUGGAACUUCCAGUGGAGCGGUGAAAUGUGUUGAUAUUGGAAGGAACACCGGUGGCGAAAGCGACACACUGGGUCUCAACUGACGCUGAGGCACGAAAGCCAGGGGAGCAAACGGG
RNAcentral lists this ribosomal RNA (256 nucleotides) under uncultured bacterium. Its description in RNAcentral is "partial 16S ribosomal RNA". It matches the Rfam family "Bacterial small subunit ribosomal RNA", at positions 521 to 776 of the family's 1533-position model. The record is from RNAcentral.